Molecule: long non-coding RNA, 1306 nt
Filed under: Citrus x clementina
Lineage: Eukaryota; Viridiplantae; Streptophyta; Magnoliopsida; Sapindales; Rutaceae
Description: Citrus clementina (C. clementina) long non-coding RNA (CCLE_LNC003637)
Source: RNAcentral
UUGGUGGCUGGGGAGGCUCAUUAUUAUCACUUGGAGGCUGAGGAGGUUCAUUGCUGUCACUAGGUGGCUGUGAAGGCUCAUUGUUGUCACUUGGUGGCUGGGGAGACUCAUUAUUAUCACUUGGAGGCUGAGGAGGUUCAUUGCUGUCACUAGGUGGCUGUGAAGGCUCAUUGUUUUCGCUUGGUGGUUGGGGAAGUUGAUUGUCACUUGGUGGUUGCGGAGGGUUAUUACUGUCGCUUGGCGGUUGAGGAGGGUUAUUACUGUCGCUUGGAGGCUGGGAAGGCUUAUUGCUGUCACUUGGUGGCUGGGGAGGCUCAUUAUUAUCACUUGGAGGCUGAGGAGGUUCAUUGCUGUCACUAGGUGGCUGUGAAGGCUCAUUGUUGUCACUUGGUGGUUGGGGAAGUUUAUUGCUGUCAAUUGGUGGCUGCUGAGGUUUAUUAAUAUCGCUUGGAGGUUGGGGAGGCAUAUUGCUAUCACUUGGUGGCUGAGGAGGCUUAUUGUUGUCGUUUGGAGGCUGAGAAGGCUUAUUGGUGUCACUUGGAGGUUGGGGGGGCUUAUUGCUGUCAUUUGGUGGCUGGGGAGGCUUAUUGGUGUCACUUGGAGGUUGGGGAGGCUUAUUGCCGUCAUUUGGUGGCAGGGGAGGCUUACUGGUAUCACUUGGAGGCUGGGGAGGUUUAUUGAUAUCAGUUGGUGGCUGGGGAGGUUUAUUGAUGUCACUUGGAGGUGAGUUGUCAUGAUUAGACGGAGGGCAUGGGCAUGGACAUGUACAUUGGCGCUUGUUGUUAUCAUCAGUGGGGGGAGCAGGAUCGGGCUGGCUCCCAUCUUGAGCAGAGGAAUGAGGGAAUGUUAAGAAGACGAUUACGAGUGUAAUGUGGAUGAACAGAUGCUUUGAACUCAUCUUUACGAGUGUACUUUUUUUUUUGUCCCCGGUUUCUGUUUGUGUUUGUGUUGUGUGGUGCGGUGUAUCUAGAGAUGAAUUUAUAGUCGGGAGGAAUUGUCACCAAUGAAGCCCCUUCGUUGUAGGAAAGCAUGGGUCCUUAUUGCUUGAUAUUUCUUUGGUCUGAGAGUUUAGCACUUCGUUCCUUGACCAUGCAAUUAACAUUUGGUGAAUAGUUGCUUGAUUUUGGGCCAUAUUACACGUUUGCGUUUGGUAUUAUCUGUGAUAUGGUAAAGCUUCAAAAUAUUCCAAGUUUAUACUCAUUAAUAAUUUCUAUUGCUUCGUUGAUAUAAAAUGGUUAAAUAGAACUUUGCUAAUGUAUUUCUACUUGGGUCAUUUCUUCUCUUCUCCAAACCUUAAACUUGUGAU